GACGAACGCUGGCGGCGUGCUUAACACAUGCAAGUCGAACGGUAAGGCCCUUCGGGGUACACGAGUGGCGAACGGGUGAGUAACACGUGGGUGAUCUGCCCUGCACUUCGGGAUAAGCCUGGGAAACUGGUGCUAAUACCGGAUAGGACCACUGCCUGCAUGGGGGGUGGUGGAAAGCUUUUGCGGUGUGGGAUGGGCACGCGGCCUAUCAGCUUGUUGGUGGGGUGAUGGCCUACCAAGGCGACGACGGGUAGCCGGCCUGAGAGGGUGACCGGCCACACUGGGACUGAGAUACGGCUCAGACUCCUACGGGAGGCAGCAGUGGGGAAUAUUGCACAAUGGGCGCAAGCCUGAUGCAGCGACGCCGCGUGAGGGAUGACGGCCUUCGGGUUGUAAACCUCUUUCAGCACCGACGAAGCGCAAGUGACGGUAGGUGCAGAAGAAGGACCGGCCAACUACGUGCCAGCCGCCGCGGUAA
Molecule: ribosomal RNA, 478 nt
Filed under: uncultured bacterium
Lineage: Bacteria
Description: partial 16S ribosomal RNA
Rfam family: Bacterial small subunit ribosomal RNA
Source: RNAcentral